UACGUGGGGUGCAAGCGUUAUCCGGAAUUAUUGGGCGUAAAGAGCUCGUAGGCGGUUUGUCGCGUCUGCUGUGAAAACUGGAGGCUCAACCUCCAGCCUGCAGUGGGUACGGGCAGACUAGAGUGCGGUAGGGGAGAUUGGAAUUCCUGGUGUAGCGGUGGAAUGCGCAGAUAUCAGGAGGAACACCGAUGGCGAAGGCAGAUCUCUGGGCCGUAACUGACGCUGAGGCGCGGAAGCGUGGGAGCAAACAGG
Molecule: ribosomal RNA, 252 nt
Filed under: uncultured bacterium
Lineage: Bacteria
Description: partial 16S ribosomal RNA
Rfam family: Bacterial small subunit ribosomal RNA
Source: RNAcentral